CCCUUUGUGUCCCCCCGUGUCCCCCCGUGUCCCCCCGUGUCCCUGCCCGUCUCCGGAGUGGCACUGCCGGGUCCGGCCCGGCCCGCGGGCUGUUGGAAGGCCCGGCGGGUCGCUGGCACGGGAGCCCCCAUGGUCUGGGGAGCGGCACGUAACGGGAAUCGUUCCGGAGAGCGGCAGGAGCGCUCCCUGCCUCUGCUGAUGGACCGGGGCGGCUGCUGGGACACUGGGGUGACUGCUGGGACACUGGGGAUAAAGCAGCCUCAGCCAUCUCCCUCUAUUGCAGCAGUUCUCUGCAGAGCACAAGGAUGCCCGUGGAUUUUGUAGCUCAUCUCCAAAAUCCCAGCAGAAGAUCCUGUGGGCAGUUUAUCACUGCAGCAGCUCUCCCAGCUCAGUUCCUCAGGCGUGGCUCCCCAGGGAUGCAGCUGGCAGGAGCAGGAAUGGAGGCUCCUUGGCAGAAGGCUCCAGGUGUGACAGGAAACACAAAGUGAUCCUGGGCUGUUGCCUUGAAUAUGGAGUUCCCAAAAUGGUGACUGAAAGCAGCAGGGCAACUCGGGAGGGAGGAGGAAACUGAAGUCAAGAGGAAAAGGCAGAAAGGUGUAGGAGGGCUUUGAGAGGCCAGGCUGGGCUGUGGCAGCCCUGGGAGCCCGGGGGGCUCAGAGCUGGGCUGCAGGGAAUUCCCUGGGCUCCACCCUGGGAACGUCUGCCAGCCCCACGGAUCCGCUGGGCACCGCUGCUCCGGAGGGUAAAGCCCUUAAAGAGGAACAUUUUCCUGUGGCUGGGUUUGAACAGCCAUGGAAAGGAACUUCUGCUCUUAUGGGCUCCUCUGUGGCCCUGUCAGUGCCUCCAAACCAGCGCUUUACCUCAGGUAAUUACAAUACACCACCUGCCUGGCUGCCUCGCUUUUCCUGUUCUUCAAAACUCCUGGAAAUCCCAGCAAGCAGCUCCAUCCAAACGAUGGUUUGGCAUUCAGUUGGGUGUGAUGCAUUACCAUGUACAGAAAUGCCAUCAGGGUGAUUUAUUGGUGGUGACUGAUUAAAUGCAACUGGUAUUUCUGUACUUUUAAUGUAGAUUUUAUAAAUGUGAUAUGUAGAUUUUGUAAAUGUGAUGUCCGUCAUUUCUAUCUGUGAAGUAUAUUUACUUCAUAAAAUAUGUAAAUAUA
This is a non-coding RNA of Taeniopygia guttata (zebra finch), 1159 nucleotides long. The record is from RefSeq and is a predicted model, not a curated record. NCBI's taxonomy places the organism in Eukaryota, Metazoa, Chordata, Aves, Passeriformes, Estrildidae.